This 513-nucleotide ribosomal RNA is filed under the name uncultured Gram-positive bacterium. RNAcentral's name for it is "bacterial SSU rRNA". It matches the Rfam family "Bacterial small subunit ribosomal RNA", at positions 8 to 521 of the family's 1533-position model. The record is from RNAcentral.
AGAGUUUGAUCCUGGCUCAGGAUGAACGCUGGCGGCGUGCUUAACACAUGCAAGUCGAGCGAAGCACCUUGACGGAUUUCUUCGGAUUGAAGCCUUGGUGACUGAGCGGCGGACGGGUGAGUAACGCGUGGGUAACCUGCCUCAUACAGGGGGAUAACAGUUGGAAACGACUGCUAAUACCGCAUAAGCGCACAGUACCGCAUGGUACGGUGUGAAAAACUCCGGUGGUAUGAGAUGGACCCGCGUCUGAUUAGGUAGUUGGUGGGGUAACGGCCUACCAAGCCGACGAUCAGUAGCCGACCUGAGAGGGUGACCGGCCACAUUGGGACUGAGACACGGCCCAAACUCCUACGGGAGGCAGCAGUGGGGAAUAUUGCACAAUGGGGGAAACCCUGAUGCAGCGACGCCGCGUGAGCGAUGAAGUAUUUCGGUAUGUAAAGCUCUAUCAGCAGGGAAGAAAAUGACGGUACCUGACUAAGAAGCCCCGGCUAACUACGUGCCAGCAGCCGCGGU